CGAAAUAAUAAUUUUCUUUUACCCUGCAGUCGUUUGUUUUCAAGCUACAAUAUCUGCUCGAAAAAUUGUUUCAAAGCUCUGAGGGGUCUGAAUGAAUUCAUAAAAUUGGCAAAAGCCACCUAUAAACUACGGUUCUUAGGGGGUGAUCAAACCAAGGUUUUAAAAACCAAAUACGUUAAAACUUUCAACAACGGAUCUCUUGGUUCUGGCAUCGAUGAAGAACGCAGCGAAAUGCGAUAAGUAAUGUGAAUUGCAGAAUUCAGUGAAUCAUCGAAUCUUUGAACGCACAUUGCGCCCAUUAGUAUUCUAGUGGGCAUGCCUAUUCGAGCGUCAUUACAACCCUUAAGCCUUGUAGCUUAGCGUUGGGAAUCUACCCCUCACUGAGGGGUAGUUCCUUAAAUUUAGUGGCGGGGUUAUAGCACACUCUAAGCGUAGUAGUUUAACUCGCUUUCAGGGAGGCUGUAGCUGCUUGCCGUAAAACCCCCUAUAACUUAUAGUGGUUGACCUCGGAUUAGGUAGGAAUACCCGCUGAACUUAAGCAUAUCAAUAAGCGGAGGAAAAGAAACCAACAGGGAUUGCCCCAGUAACG
Molecule: ribosomal RNA, 589 nt
Filed under: uncultured fungus
Lineage: Eukaryota; Fungi
Description: eukaryotic LSU rRNA
Rfam family: 5.8S ribosomal RNA (bases 180-333)
Source: RNAcentral